CAUACUGACUUUAUUCGCUGGACUGUGGAAGGCUUGUAGACCACCAUGACUCCAGUAUGGAGCCAAGGCCAAGACUCCUUGUUAGUAGUACGGGCUGUCAUGAAUGUUGGUGUACACUGCGUACAGUGACAGAUUUGGUUUCUGAUGUCUAUUGGAUACACGGUGAUGUCAGCAUCCUUCUGGAAAACCAGAAAGGACUCUCCAGGUUUCUGGAGUCAGGUCAUGGAUGCUUGUUGAAUGGAUUUUGCAGUUUGGAAGUCGCAUACCUGAGCUGCUCUGCUGGGUUUCAGAAGAGAAGCGCCACCAGUGACCUUUCAUCUUUAAGUUUCUUUACCUUUCUGGGAUUCAGUUCUUGGAGAACAUCCUACCUCACAGGGUGUUUCUAAGGACAAAUGAGAUAACGUCUGUGAAGCCCCUGGAGAGGAAGCCUCGCCGGAGAUAAGCACAGGCUCCUGUAUUUUUAGCUGAGGAGUGCUGGUUGUCCAGGAUAUGCCAUUUAGCAAUUCCUGGAGCCCUGAAAAGGAAAGAGAAAGGGUGGCUGGGGGCAGGGCCCUGGUGCAUUCAACAAUAUUGUUUUUCGAGAAAUCCCUCCCACCCCGAGUGUAAGAAUACACGUCAAAGGAAGCAAACACCAUCUGUAGAUAAUACAGGAAGGUGACAGGUUUGCUUGCUUGCAACUGUUACCGCGUGAUGCUAAUAUCCUCUGUCCUAACUGCUGGUUCACUCUAAGGGGCAGAGGUCUAUGGGGCACCUACUGCACUGAUAAUGAAACUGGGCUUUAGUGACUCUCUGUUUCUGCACAGAAUGGCAGGAAACAUCUUCACCACCCACGACUCCUCCAGAAAGUAAGGAGUUUGGUGGAGGCGCGUUUCCUGGCCAGAUUCCAAAAAUGGUUCUCAGUCUUAGCGAAGGUAGGAGAACUGACCAUGCUGACCUCACACAAGCAAGGCUUCAGAACCACGAUAGGAGCCAGCCUGCCCUCCGAUCCAUAUCUGCCGCCUAAGCAGAAAACAUCCCCAAAGGAAUAACAGGAAAUUUGCUUUGAUAACUUCAUUGGAGAAAUGUCUUGCGUGAGUUCCCCCAAGUGCUUGCCAGAGUGUUGCCAUUCUGCCGUGUUUAUCUCUCAACCCUAUGGUGCAGGCCUAAGCGUCCUUCUCUGUGGGAAGUCAAUAAUGUUUACUUACCUCUCUUUGGGCUCAAAGAUGAAGAUUAGCAUUUGACAAAACCUUCAUCUGGUGAUGGAUGGAGAUAGAGACAGAGACCCACAUCG
This is a non-coding RNA of Myodes glareolus (Bank vole), 1270 nucleotides long. The record is from RefSeq and is a predicted model, not a curated record. NCBI's taxonomy places the organism in Eukaryota, Metazoa, Chordata, Mammalia, Rodentia, Cricetidae.